GCCCCUGUGGCGGAAUUGGUAGACGCGCUCGACUCAAAAUCGAGUUUCGAAAGAAGUGUCCGUUCGAGUCGGACCAGGGGCACCA
This 85-nucleotide transfer RNA is filed under the name Sphingomicrobium sp. RNAcentral describes it as "tRNA-Leu". It matches the Rfam family "tRNA". Rfam says of the family: Transfer RNA (tRNA) molecules are approximately 80 nucleotides in length. Their secondary structure includes four short double-helical elements and three loops (D, anti-codon, and T loops). Further hydrogen bonds mediate the characteristic L-shaped molecular structure. tRNAs have two regions of fundamental functional importance: the anti-codon, which is responsible for specific mRNA codon recognition, and the 3' end, to which the tRNAs corresponding amino acid is attached (by aminoacyl-tRNA synthetases). tRNAs cope with the degeneracy of the genetic code in two manners: having more than one tRNA (with a specific anti-codon) for a particular amino acid; and 'wobble' base-pairing, i.e. permitting non-standard base-pairing at the 3rd anti-codon position. RNAcentral also lists the same sequence under 2 other names. Lineage: Bacteria; Pseudomonadati; Pseudomonadota; Alphaproteobacteria; Sphingomonadales; Sphingomicrobiaceae. The record is from RNAcentral.